RNAcentral lists this ribosomal RNA (465 nucleotides) under uncultured bacterium. RNAcentral's name for it is "partial 16S ribosomal RNA". It matches the Rfam family "Bacterial small subunit ribosomal RNA", at positions 338 to 795 of the family's 1533-position model. The record is from RNAcentral.
CCUACGGGUGGCUGCAGUAGGGAAUUUUCCACAAUGGGCGAAAGCCUGAUGGAGCAACGCCGCGUGGGUGAAGAAGGUCUUCGGAUCGUAAAACCCUUUUGUUCGAGAAGAAAGUGCCUGAGAGUAACUGUUCACGUUUCUACGCUAUCUAACCAGAUAGCCACGGCUAACUACGUGCCAGCAGCCGCGGUAAUACGUAGGUGGCAAGCGUUAUCCGGAUUUAUUUGGCGUAAAGGGAACGCAGGCGGUCUUGUAAGUCUGAUGUGAAAGCCGUCGGCUUAACCGGAGUAGUGCAUUGGAAACUGGGAGACUUGAGUGCAGAAGAGGAGAGUGGAACUCCAGGUGUAGCGGGGAAAUGCGUAGAUAUAUGGAAGAACACCAGUGGCGAAGGCGGCUCUCUGGUCUGUAACUGACGCUGAGGUUCGAAAGCGUGGGUAGCAAACAGGAUUAGAUACCCGAGUAGUC